Molecule: non-coding RNA, 36 nt
Filed under: Trypanosoma brucei brucei
Lineage: Eukaryota; Euglenozoa; Kinetoplastea; Trypanosomatida; Trypanosomatidae
Source: RNAcentral
UAAACAACAUAAAUCAUGACACUGAAAAGGGACGUC